Molecule: long non-coding RNA, 483 nt
Filed under: Rattus norvegicus (Norway rat)
Lineage: Eukaryota; Metazoa; Chordata; Mammalia; Rodentia; Muridae
Description: long non-coding RNA NONRATT022017
Source: RNAcentral
AGAUGCGGGGGCUGCAGCGGGUCUACCCGGCCCCCGCCUCCAAGAGGCCACCCCUGCUCCGCCCGGAGCGCAGUUACGCCUCGCCCAGCGACAACUCUUCGGCGGAGGAGGAGGACCCCGACGGCGAAGAGGAGCCGGGCACCGUGGGAGCCGCGGGAGGCUGCAAGAGAAAGCGGCCCCGUGGGGCUGACGCCAGCUGCUGCAGGAGGACCGCUACGAGGAUAGCUAUGUGCACCCCGUGAACCUGACGUGGCCAUUCGUGGUCUCUGGACGCCCAGACUCUGAUACCAAAGAUGUUUCUGCAGCCAACAGGCUUUGUGGAACUUCAGCUUAGAUGGACAGCAACACUGCUGGAUGGAUUGUGUUAAAUGCAAAGGACUGGGCCAAGGAAGUCCCAUCGAUUCCGGACCUUCUCCUUUCCCUGUGUUUGUGAACAAGACAGGUGACAAGUGUGGUUGCCCUCCUGGAACACAGGUGGCCAUG